This 3125-nucleotide ribosomal RNA is filed under the name metagenome. RNAcentral's name for it is "bacterial LSU rRNA". It matches the Rfam family "Bacterial large subunit ribosomal RNA". The record is from RNAcentral.
UUUAGUUUUUUUGGGCGUUUGGUGGAUGCCUUGGUGCCUGGAGCUGAUGAAGGACGUGGUGGCCUGCGAUAUUCCCUGGGGAGUUGGCGAGCGAGUGUUGAUCCGGGGGUUUCCGAAUGGGGUAACCUAGCCAGUUUUGUUGCUGGUUACUGCUGCCUGAAUUUAUAGGGUGGUGGGGGGAACGUGGGGAAGUGAAACAUCUUAGUACCUGCUGGAAGAGAUAUUCUGUGAGUAGUGGUGAGCGAAAGUGGAUGAUGGCUAAACUGCGUGCGUGUCAAGGCGGCAGCUGUUGCGUGCGUGGGGUUGUGGGGUGUGUUUUUCCAUUCUCUGCUGGGGGUGGGGGUUGUGAUAAAUGGUGGUGUGGAGCUGAACAGUCUGGGAUGGCUGACCAUAGGGCGUGAUAGUCGUGUAGGUGGUUCAUAUCACUCAACCUGAACACAUUUUUCCCGAGUAGCAGCGGGCUCGUGGAAUCUGCUGUGAAUCUGCCCAGACCACUGGGUAAGCCUGAAUACUACCGGGUGACCGAUAGCGUAUUUAGUACCGUGAGGGAAUGGUGAAAAGUACCCCGGGAGGGGAGUGAAAUAGUGCCUGAAACCAAACGCUUUUUAUCCGUCAGAGCCGGUCAACCAUUUUUUGGUGGUUGUGGUGAUGGCGUGCCUAUUGAAGAAUGAGCCUGCGAGUUAGUGAUGCGUGGCGAGGUUAACCCUUGUGGGGUAGUCGUAGCGAAAGCGAGUCUUAGUUGGGCGUUUAGUCGCGUGUUCUAGACCCGAAGCGGGGUGAUCUACCCAUGGCCAGGUUGAAGCGAUUGUAGAAGGUCGUGGAGGACCGUACCCACCUAGGUUGAAAACUGGGGGGAUGAGUUGUGGGUAGGGGUGAAAGGCUAAUCAAACUCCGUGAUAGCUGGUUCUCCCCGAAAUGCAUUUAGGUGCAGCGUUUCGCGUGUGUUGUUGUGGUGGUAGAGCUACUGGUUGGUUGAGGGGCCGUUUUGGUUACUGACGUCAGCUAAACUCCGAAUGCCAUUGACAAGUGCGGGGCAGUGAGACUGCGGGGGAUAAGCUUCGUAGUCGAGAGGGAAACAGCCCAGAUCAUCGGUUAAGGCCCCUAAGGGUGUGCUGAGUGGGGAAGGAUGUGGAGUUGCAUAGACAACCAGGAGGUUGGCUUAGAAGCAGCCAUCCUUGAAAGAGUGCGUAAUAGCUCACUGGUCGAGUGAUUCCGCGCCGAGAAUUUAGCGGGGCUUAAGUACACCGCCGAAACCAUGACAGAAUUUUUGUUCUGGGUAGGGGAGCGUCCCUAUUGGGGUGAAGCAGGCCUGUGAGGGUUUGUGGACUGGUGGGGAGUGAGAAUGCAGGCAUGAGUAGCGAUUAUGUGGGUGGGAAUCCCACGCGCCGAUUGACUAAGGGUUCCAGGGCUAGGUUUAUCCGCCCUGGGUUAGUCGGGUCCUAAGGCGAGGCCGACAGGCGUAGUCGAUGGAUGACCAGUUGAUAUUCUGGUACCGGUCUUUUCUCGUAAAGUGCUGACAAAGUUGUGCUAACCAAUGCUGCUCACACCUCUUGCUUUUCGAAGUGGGGGGCUUGUGGUGGUCUUGGGGUCCCGGCUUGGGUAGGCAAGCGUGUUAACAGGGGUGACGCAGUAGGGUAGCUGAUGCUGGCCGGUGGUUGUGCCAGUCUAAGGUUGUGGCCUGCAUGCUAGGUAAAUCCGGUGUGCUUCCUUAAAUGGUGAGGGUGAGGACUGAUGGGACUGCCCCCGUGGGGGUGGUUAUUGGUGUGCUUGUGCUGUCUAGAAAAGCCUCGACGUUAGAGGAAGAUCCGCCCGUACCCGAAACCGACACAGGUAGUUAGGUAGAGAAUACUAAGGCGUGCGAGUUAAUCAUGGUUAAGGAACUCGGCAAAAUGCCCCCGUAACUUUGGAAGAAGGGGGACCAAACCCGGACUUUUCUAUUUUCAUUGGUUUGUGUUUGGGUUUGGUCGCAGUGAUUUGGAAGAAGCGACUGUUUAUUAAAAACAUAGGUGUGUGCGAAGCCUUAUGGCGAUGUAUACGCACUGACGCCUGCCCGGUGCUGGAAGGUUAAGCAGACGACUUAACCCACUUUUUUGGUGGGUGAAGGUUUGAAGUUAAGCCCCAGUAAACGGCGGUGGUAACUAUAACCAUCCUAAGGUAGCGAAAUUCCUUGUCGGGUAAGUUCCGACCUGCACGAAUGGCGUAACGACUUCUUCGCUGUCUCGACCAUGAACUCGGUGAAAUUGCAGUACGAGUAAAGAUGCUCGUUUCGCGCAGCAGGACGGAAAGACCCCGGGACCUUUACUAUAGCUUGGUAUUGGUAAUCGGUUGUGUUUGUGUAGGAUAGGUGGGAGACUGUGAGGCCCUUGCGCUAGUGGGGGCGGAGUCGUUGUUGAAAUACCACUCUGAUAUAAGCGGUUAUCUAACCUUGGUCCGUGAUCCGGAUUGGGGACAGUGCCUGGUGGGUAGUUUAACUGGGGCGGUUGCCUCCUAAAUGGUAACGGAGGCGCUCAAAGGUCCUCUCAGCCUGGUUGGUAAUCAGGUGUUGAGUGUAAGUGUAGAAGAGGGCUUGACUGUGACACUGACGGGUGGAACAGGUAGGAAACUAGGAACUAGUGAUCCGGCCGUGGUGAGUGGAAACGCGGUCGCUCAACGGAUAAAAGGUACCCCGGGGAUAACAGGCUGAUCUUGCCCAAGAGUCCAUAUCGACGGCAUGGUUUGGCACCUCGAUGUCGGCUCGUCGCAUCCUGGGGCUGGAGUCGGUCCCAAGGGUUGGGCUGUUCGCCCAUUAAAGCGGUACGCGAGCUGGGUUUAGAACGUCGUGAGACAGUUCGGUCCCUAUCCGCUGCGCGCGUAGGAAACUUGAGAAGGCCUGUCCCUAGUACGAGAGGACCGGGACGGACGAACCUCUGGUGUGCCAGUUGUACUGCCAAGUGCAUGGCUGGUUAGCUACGUUCGGGAAGGAUAACCGCUGAAAGCAUCUAAGCGGGAAGCCUGCUUCAAGACCUGGUUUCCAUCCCACAAUCUUGUGGGGAGAGACUCCCAAUAGACGAUUGGGUAGAUAGGCCAGACGUGUAAACACGGUAACGUGGGAAGCUGACUGGUACUAAUAGUCAAUAACUAAAACA